This 73-nucleotide transfer RNA is filed under the name Marmota monax (woodchuck). It matches the Rfam family "tRNA". Rfam says of the family: Transfer RNA (tRNA) molecules are approximately 80 nucleotides in length. Lineage: Eukaryota; Metazoa; Chordata; Mammalia; Rodentia; Sciuridae. The record is from Rfam by way of RNAcentral.
UGGGAUAUAGCUCAGUUGGUAGAGUACUUGCCUCGUGUGCAUGAAGCCCUGGGUUCACUCCCCAGAACCACAC